UUUUUGGCAAAAUCAGCCGCCAGUUCACCACAGCUGCAACUUGCAACCUCAAUUGAUUGCGUAAUGCCUAACAAUUACAAGGCUAGAGGUGGGCUUUUUCUCAUCACAUGAUCAAGAUAAUAAUAAUGAUAAAUAUGACACGCGUGAAAUCAUAUGAAUGGCCCAGCGAAGAUUCAAUUCCAAAGGGUGGAUUUUAGCGUAUUACCAGUCCCAACUUUAUUGGAUCACAAGAUUCUCUCCUCUUCCAAAGGAGAGUGGCCCAAGAGAAUAGCUACAACACAUGACUUCAUAAAUGAAUCCAACACAGGUUGAGUAUUGUCAAAAAGUUCUCGUAUCGCUGAUGGUUUUAGUUCUCCGAUUGCCAUUGGUUGCCCAUGAGUAAAAAACAAAACAAUUCCAUUACCAGUAGCCACUCAUCUCACCUUCACAUCCAUACCAUUCAAAAGUUCAUUAUAAAACAAAAGCAUUUCCUCCUUUUCCGAUGACUUUUGCAGAAGCUCUUCUUAAUUCCUUUUAUUAAAUGAUAAUUAUUAAUGCAUAAAUUCAUUUUUUAAAAUUAUAAAUACUUUAAAAUAAAAAUUUAAGGUGUCAAUUUAUAUAUUACAGAAACAAAAAUUUCAUAUUCUUCGUGUCAACGUAUAUAAUUAUGGAUUGAAAACAAACCAUUCUAGUCCAAGUAUUCAUUAUCCCCAACAUGCACCACUCACUCAUCCGCCAGACCCUAAUAUUUUUUAAUAAUGCAAAAAAAAAAAAAAAAAAA
Molecule: unclassified non-coding RNA, 760 nt
Filed under: Hevea brasiliensis (rubber tree)
Lineage: Eukaryota; Viridiplantae; Streptophyta; Magnoliopsida; Malpighiales; Euphorbiaceae
Source: RNAcentral